RNAcentral lists this long non-coding RNA (783 nucleotides) under Mytilus galloprovincialis (Mediterranean mussel). Lineage: Eukaryota; Metazoa; Mollusca; Bivalvia; Mytilida; Mytilidae. The record is from RNAcentral.
AACAAAACGUUGAGUGUCACUGAUAUAUUUAUGAACAGAUUUAAAAAUAGCAAUAUUCAUAUCAUAUGAAAAUAAUCUGUUUCCAAAAAGUAAUAAUUCAAUAUUUAUAUCAACAUUAUCAGCAAUGGAGUUAAUGGAAUCAAGAAGGAUCUGUCUUACAUCAUUGUACUUAGGGCAAAUGAAAAAUAAAUGUUUGUUAUCCUCAACAGGGUGAUUACAGUUUGCACAAAAAGUGUUCUCGGAUAAGAAUUGAUUAAACAGAUGAGAUUUUAGGUUGCUAGCAUUAUUUCUGAGUUGACAAUGACUUAUAUUAAGUUUCCUUAUCCCAUAGUUGAAGGGUUUAAAUAUAUCAUCAGUCCUAUAAAACUUUUCCAGUCCACUUCUAAAUAUACCCAAACUUGGGGAUUUUUGUAAACUCAAAGGAAGACUGUUCCAAAGUCUUAUAGUGGAAGGAAUGAAACUAUUGAAAUAAGAGCUAGUUCUAGCAAGAGGCGGAUGAAAAGUGUUAUUUUCAUUCCUCAAAGUAUAAGGGGUUUGUCUGGGAAGAUAUGGCUGGACUAACUCAUAUAAGUAUGCAGGUGUCAUCCCAUUUAAUAUUUUAUAGAAUAGUACAAGCUUAUGUUUAUUACGUCUAUUCUCCAGAGUUUCUAAACCUAAUUCAAUAUAAAGUUUUUGUCUGGAGGAAUUAAGUCGUAAACCUGUAAUUAUUCUAGCGGCUUCUAUCUGAAUAUUUUCAAGAAGCUCAGACUCGUGCUGGGAGCAAUUGCCCCAUACAACAUCCCC